GACUAACGCUGGCGGCGUGCCUAACACAUGCAAGUCGAACGAAGCAGCAAUGCUUAGUGGCAGACGGGUGAGUAACGCGUAGAUAAUGUGCCCUCUUGCGGGGGAUACCGUUUCGAAAGGAACGUUAAUACCGCAUAAAGUCCUUAGAAGGCAUCUUUUAGGGACCAAACUUCCGGGGCGGGAGGAGCAAUCUGCGUACUAUCAGCUAGUUGGUGAGGUAAUGGCUCACCAAGGCUACGACGGUUAACUGGUCUGAGAGGAUGAUCAGUCACACUGGAACUGAGACACGGUCCAGACUCCUACGGGAGGCAGCAGUGAGGAAUAUUGCACAAUGGGCGAAAGCCUGAUGCAGCGACGCCGCGUGGAGGAUGAAGGAUUUCGGUCUGUAAACUCCUGUCAGUAGGGAAGAGAAUGGACGGUACCUACUGAGGAAGGCUUCGGCUAACUACGUGCCAGCAGCCGCGGUAAU
RNAcentral lists this ribosomal RNA (469 nucleotides) under uncultured bacterium. Its description in RNAcentral is "bacterial SSU rRNA". It matches the Rfam family "Bacterial small subunit ribosomal RNA", at positions 28 to 524 of the family's 1533-position model. The record is from RNAcentral.